Non-coding RNA from Pelobates cultripes (western spadefoot toad), 224 nucleotides. Lineage: Eukaryota; Metazoa; Chordata; Amphibia; Anura; Pelobatidae. The record is from the annotation of a GenBank genome assembly.
GUGCAAGGAUUUUUGCCGCCCUAGGCAAAAGUAAAGUUUGCCGCACCCCCAUGUGACAUCACAAUGCCCCACCCAUAUGAUCUGCCAUGUUAACUAACACCAGUGCUGCCGUGUUUGCAUUAAAAGGCCUGCAGGGACAGGCUAGACACCAGAACCACUACAUUAAGCUGCAGUGGUUCUGGGGACUAUAGUGUCCCUUUAAUGUGAGGUAAAUUAUAGAUUAG